GUCAUGGACAUCAUCAAGUUGAUGCCAUCCAAAGUCAUAUGAAGGUGCACUGCCUUCUGGAAUAUUCCAUGAGAGAAAUGGUAUAUAAAAAAGUAAAAUGGAAGUGUGAAGUGAGGAUGAAUCGAAACCACUCCACACCCUGGAUAUGGGCUCCACCAAAAGUGACAACCAAACAGACUUCACACUUCAGGAAGCUCAACACAAACAGCAGCGUGGAGGAAAAAACCUAGAGGUGACAGUACAGAACCACUCGGAGGUGACAGCGAUGUGACAGAGAGUCAGAGGGAAAGGCAGGAGAACCCACCAUCUGAGACUUCUCCAGGUGACAGUGAGGAGGGAAAGCUCACCGCUCAUCACUUUCAAAGGACAGAUGCUAAUCUUCCUGUAUCCCAGGAUAUCGGUUCACAGUGAACACAACACACCCAGGGAAGGAAUACGAAAGUGCCACGUCACAAAGAAGAGCAAUAUCAUCUUUACAAAGACCCCACGUUUGAAGACAGUAAAGCUGUCCACGCACUGGUCACGCCACUAGUUGUGUCUGUCCUGCCCUCCCCACACAAACCUCACCACUGCCC
This 575-nucleotide long non-coding RNA is filed under the name Fukomys damarensis (Damara mole-rat). Its description in RNAcentral is "lncRNA (ENSFDAG00000025444.1)". The record is from RNAcentral. Lineage: Eukaryota; Metazoa; Chordata; Mammalia; Rodentia; Bathyergidae.